GAACUCAAGGUUGGUGAAGGAAGCAGAGGAGACAGGGGUGGACAUGGACCUAGCAGAGAUCUGGGGAGGUUGCUGUGUAGGACACAGCCCAGCAGAGGGAGCUCAGGCUCCUCUCUGACUGCCUGGGGCAGGUUCUCUGCUCCCCUGUCCUCUGAAGGUGGUCUGCACACAGAGGACAGCUGAGAGGGAUGGUGGAGGAUCAGCACUGAUGUCACACUGACACUGUUUCUUCCCCACAGGACAGAGGACUAAAGCCGAAACCCCAGCCAGGGACCUCAUUGAAAACACUGAGAAUGUUGAACCUGAAGGACAAUAUAUGGACCCCAAAGAGAACCCCAAGGAUAACAACAUCGUGUACGCCUCCAUUGCCCGCUCAAGCCCAGCCUCCCCAGGAACACCACCCUGCCAGCCCGUCCAUGGGAACCCCCAGGAAGAGACUGUGUACUCCAUCGUAAAAGCCAAAUGAGUGGGUCUGGGUGACAAUCUCAGAGUCACCUGUGCUUCUAGUGGGAAGACUCCCAGCUUCCACUGAUACCCACAGCCAGAGACAACAACUCAUGGGUCACUGAUACCCAUGGCCAGAGACAGAAAUCCACACGUCAGGGCGUUUGAGCUCAGAGAAAAUGAGAAAAUCCAGGUCCCUUUUCUAACUUCCUAGAUCUUUCUCACAAAAAUAAAACAAUCUACAGAAUUUGCCUAAA
Peromyscus leucopus (white-footed mouse) is the source of this 701-nucleotide long non-coding RNA. RefSeq lists it as uncharacterized. NCBI's taxonomy places the organism in Eukaryota, Metazoa, Chordata, Mammalia, Rodentia, Cricetidae. The transcript has 4 exons. The record is from RefSeq and is a predicted model, not a curated record.